Molecule: ribosomal RNA, 254 nt
Filed under: uncultured bacterium
Lineage: Bacteria
Description: partial 16S ribosomal RNA
Rfam family: Bacterial small subunit ribosomal RNA
Source: RNAcentral
UACGUAGGGCGCAAGCGUUAUCCGGAAUUAUUGGGCGUAAAGAGCUCGUAGGCGGUUUGUCGCGUCUGCUGUGAAAAACUCGGGGCUUAACUCCGGGCCUGCAGUGGGUACGGGCAGACUAGAGUGCGGUAGGGGAGACUGGAAUUCCUGGUGUAGCGGUGAAAUGCGCAGAUAUCAGGAGGAACACCGGUGGCGAAGGCGGGUCUCUGGGCCGUAACUGACGCUGAGGAGCGAAGGCGUGGGGAGCGAACAGG